AAUAUUUUUAACUUGUAGCUGAUGACCGAUAUGGAUAAAACAUUGAUAAUCUUAUCUUUCAGCUGUAUUGUAUAUAUUGCUAUUUUUAUGCCCCCUUAUGCACCCAGAAAUACUUCAUGAAGUAUGCAAUGAGCUCAUUGUCAUUAAUUAUGUGAGAGUUGGACUUGUCAAUAUUAGUGAACUUCAGAGAACUUCCCUGAUAUGGACAAUCUAAACUUGACCAUUCCCCAUCCAGGAACAUGUAUACAUAUAUAUAUUUAGUAAUGUUUUAUUACAGGAAUCAGUGAAAUUUAUAUAAUGUUUUCACCAUAAUUUUUUUGUAUAUAUAUUGUAAUAUUUCAUUGACAGAAAUCAGAAAUUCAAUUGUUGGUAUAUGAUGUGUGUAUUAUAUUAAUCAUUUUUAUGAUGCAUUUUGUAUUUUAAUUGAAGAUUGCAGGAGCAAUCUUGGCGACGAAGGGAAGGGUAUAACCAGUAUAUUUUAGAUGCAAGAAUGUUAAAAUGUGGAAUUCAAAUAAUUGUUAUAAUUUAGUAUUAUAGUUAAGAUAUUUAGCACUAGCUUAAGAAAUAAUUUACUUGAUAAAUAGUUAAUAUAAAUCUUCACAAUUUUAGAUAAGUGUAAAGCAAAUUAUUAUGUAAUCCCCUGAGGCCUAAAUGACAAUAGAGAAUUAAGGAUUAAAGAAGUGUUAUAUAUACAAAAAGGAUUUCUUACUUUUUAAGAUGAUUUAAGUUAUGUCACAAAGACUUGAUAUUUGGGAAUAUAGAUAAAUAAGCAUUAUUAUGUAAAUUAGCUAUUUGAGUAUUAAUGUUAUGUAAAUUGAAUAAUGAAACAAUAUAUAUUAGUUGACCAUGUAGUUAGGGACACUUAUUUGACAGUCACGUAUUGGACACUUGUGUUUUAUACUUGGAUUUAGACAGUUGUAUUGAAUUGAUAUUAGACAUGC
RNAcentral lists this long non-coding RNA (941 nucleotides) under Mytilus galloprovincialis (Mediterranean mussel). Lineage: Eukaryota; Metazoa; Mollusca; Bivalvia; Mytilida; Mytilidae. The record is from RNAcentral.